This 253-nucleotide ribosomal RNA is filed under the name uncultured bacterium. RNAcentral describes it as "partial 16S ribosomal RNA". It matches the Rfam family "Bacterial small subunit ribosomal RNA", at positions 524 to 776 of the family's 1533-position model. The record is from RNAcentral.
UACGUAGGGACCGAGCGUUGUCCGGAUUCAUUGGGCGUAAAGAGCUCGUAGGCGGCUGCUCAAGUCGAAUGUGAAAACUCGAGGCUCAACCUCGAGCCUGCAUUCGAUACUGGGCGGCUAGAGUCUGGUAGGGGGAUCUGGAAUUCCUGGUGUAGCGGUGAAAUGCGCAGAUAUCAGGAAGAACACCGGUGGCGAAGGCGGGUCUCUGGGCCACUACUGACGCUGAGGAGCGAAAGCGUGGGGAGCGAACAGG